GACGAACGCUGGCGGCGUGCUUAACACAUGCAAGUCGAACGGAAAGGCCCUGCUUUUGUGGGGUGCUCGAGUGGCGAACGGGUGAGUAACACGUGAGUAACCUGCCCUUGACUUUGGUAUAACUUCAGGAAACUGGGGCUAAUACCGGAUAGGAUCUCCUGCUGCAUGGUGGGGGUUGGAAAGUUUCGGCGGUUGGGGAUGGACUCGCGGCUUAUCAGCUUGUUGGUGGGGUAGUGGCUUACCAAGGCUUUGACGGGUAGCCGGCCUGAGAGGGUGACCGGCCACAUUGGGACUGAGAUACGGCCCAGACUCCUACGGGAGGCAGCAGUGGGGAAUAUUGCACAAUGGGAGGAAGCCUGAUGCAGCAACGCCGCGUGCGGGAUGACGGCCUUCGGGUUGUAAACCGCUUUAGCCUGUGACGAAGCGUGAGUGACGGUAAUGGGUAAAGAAGCACCGGCUAACUACGUG
RNAcentral lists this ribosomal RNA (468 nucleotides) under uncultured bacterium. Its description in RNAcentral is "partial 16S ribosomal RNA". It matches the Rfam family "Bacterial small subunit ribosomal RNA", at positions 28 to 507 of the family's 1533-position model. The record is from RNAcentral.